UUGUUUGGAGGUGAAUGAACAUCAUUAGCUUUAUCAACCACUGUCCCAAUCCUUUUGGAUCCUAUGAAUCUCCUUCAACUUAUCUACCCUUAAACAAAGAACAUCUUCUCUUCCAAAAUCUUGAAGUCCCCUCUUACAAAAAUAAAAAUAAAGUACUACAGAAAAUUGCUACAAAAAAGUCUCAAGUUUUCAUAUUAUUAGACAUCGGAGCUGACGUGGCACAUAAAUUUUGGACGCAUUUGGAUGAUCAUUCUGUAAGUUGGAGUAUUCAGUUGACGCAAUGGAGACAAGUUGAGGUGUCUAGAUGUACAUAGUCAAAGCUGGAGUGUUUACUUGCCAGCUAAGGCCAAGUUUGAGUGUCCAUUUAUGUAUCCGGUAUAUUGAGCUCUUCCAGAAGGUUUUGAAGAAAGAAUCAUCAUUUCAACACUAGGUUCCGAUCCGUUAUGGGCCUCUCACAAUAUCCAACUCCAGCAGAUGCAGGAGUACUAGGUGUGAUUCUAGUAAACACAGCCAUAUCCAUAUCCAUUGUCAAGGAGAUACUACGAUCGAUUCUUCGCCUGAUAGGCAUCCGUAUCGCAUCAUGGGAAGACUAUUCUAUUGAAGGCUCCUCAGACUCACUUGAAUGCCGUGGAAGCCCACCAGAGUCAUACAUGGAGGAGUUCAGAAGCCGAACACCUGCAUUUCGUUAUGACUCGCUAUGCAUCUCUAACCACCCUGAACAAGAAUGUUCUGUGUGCCUAACAAAAUUUGAGCCUGAUGCAGGGGUAAACAGUCUCUCAUGUGGUCAUGUUUUCCAUAAGCUGUGUCUAGAGAAGUGGCUCAGGUAUUGGCAUGUAACUUGUCCUCUUUGCAGAAAUUACUUGAUGCCUCAACAAGAAGAGGACGAUACGUGUCCAAUGUGAGAUUAAACGUUUUAAGGUGCCACUUCAUCCAUUUGAGGAUGUUAUUAUGUACAGCUUAGUAUUGUACAGGCUGAGUAUGUGGAUGCUUGAUCUUUGACAUGAUGUAGUCUGUUAGCUUGUUAUAUUUGUGAUGCUUUGCGUCCUCUCAGAGUGACGGGUCUCUUUGGUGUGACCAAAAACUUCAUACAUCAUUGUACAUGAUUUAGUUCUGUAGCUUUGUUGUGUUUGUAAUGCUUUGCGUCCUCUUAUAGUGACGGGUCUCUUUGGUGUGACCACAAACUUAUACAUUGUAGUAGUACAUGGUGUAGUCCUGUAGCUUGUUGUAUAUGUAAUGCUAUUUGUCCUCUCUGAGUGACGGGCAACUUUUGGUGUGACCAAGAACUUAUACAUUGUUGUUCAUAUGUUA
Molecule: RNA transcript, 1308 nt
Organism: Capsicum annuum
Lineage: Eukaryota; Viridiplantae; Streptophyta; Magnoliopsida; Solanales; Solanaceae
Gene name: probable E3 ubiquitin-protein ligase XERICO
Exons: 4
Source: RefSeq, a predicted model, not a curated record